This 369-nucleotide ribosomal RNA is filed under the name uncultured Psychrobacter sp. Its description in RNAcentral is "bacterial SSU rRNA". It matches the Rfam family "Bacterial small subunit ribosomal RNA", at positions 449 to 813 of the family's 1533-position model. Lineage: Bacteria; Pseudomonadati; Pseudomonadota; Gammaproteobacteria; Moraxellales; Moraxellaceae. The record is from RNAcentral.
CUCUUCGGUUAAUACCCGGAGACGAUGACAUUAGCUGCAGAAUAAGCACCGGCUAACUCUGUGCCAGCAGCCGCGGUAAUACAGAGGGUGCAAGCGUUAAUCGGAAUUACUGGGCGUAAAGCGAGCGUAGGUGGCUUGAUAAGUCAGAUGUGAAAUCCCCGGGCUUAACCUGGGAACUGCAUCUGAUACUGUUAAGCUAGAGUAGGUGAGAGGGAAGUAGAAUUCCAGGUGUAGCGGUGAAAUGCGUAGAGAUCUGAAGGAAUACCGAUGGCGAAGGCAGCUUCCUGGCGUCAUACUGACACUGAGGCUCGAAAGCGUGGGUAGCAAACAGGAUUAGAUACCCUGGUAGUCCACGCCGUAAACGAUGUC